Long non-coding RNA from Astatotilapia calliptera (eastern happy), 2215 nucleotides. Lineage: Eukaryota; Metazoa; Chordata; Actinopteri; Cichliformes; Cichlidae. The record is from Ensembl.
AAAAACCCAAACAAAACCUUAAUACAGCAGCACAGAAGUUGGUAUCCUGAGAAACAACAAUAAUAAUAAUAUGAAGUAAUCACUGAUUAAAUUUGGGAAAAAUAUAAUCCAGGGACGUGUGAUGUUUAUUAAUCAGUCAAACCUGGAAAAAAAUAACUUGGCUACAGUAGAUAGAAAUGAGGAUAAGGAGUUUAUUUUAAACUAACAUAUGGCACAGAAAUAUAUUAGUCACCAUUAGAAUCCUGUACAAACGUAUACAGAUGUUGUAGAGGCUUUUAUUAUACCAGACUUUAAUAUAAAGAAGGCAAAAGGAUCAAUGAUGGACUUUCAGUAUACACAGGAAAAUGGUUGCAAUAUUAUUAACUGUCCAGUGGGUUGAAGACACGAGACCAUUAAGAUCAGUAAUUUGUUCAGAUUCCAGUUCAUCGUUAGUAAGUUUACAAUGCAACCAUGCAGAAAGUCGACCAGAAAUCUUAAUAGAAACUCAACAAACACCAUGCAGAGUAAACAUAACAGGACUAAUGAUUAACUUUUGUAUGGCCACCAGCAUAUUAUAGUGUUAAGGGAAAUGAAAUGGCAGAUAAGGCUGCAAAAAAGAGCCACUGGAAAAAGAUUAGUGCAAUUAAUUAUCAGCUGUAGUAAAACAGAAAUAAAAAAAUCAAUUAGAACAGAAAAUAAAGGAGAGAUUGCAAAAAUAAUGGGAGAAAGAAAGGAAAGGACGGUGGUUUUAUAAAAUCCAAAGGAAAACUGGAGAAAUGAGAAACAAUCAUUUCACGUCUCAGAUUUGGGCACGCUGGGAUAAACGGAACACUUUUCAUUUUAGGGAAACAUUGCACCGGAAUAUGCGAGCGCUGUGCUGAGACAGUAGCUCAUGUUAUAUUACACUGACAGGAGUGUGAGGAAGAAAGAGAAGACAACUGAUUCAAAACCUAAAUACAAUCAAACUCAAACUAGAUUUAAUUGGAUUUGCUUAGAAAUAACUGAAGUACUAAAAGCUAUCGAGCAAUAUUUAACUAGCAUGAUAGGAUCUAAUCCUUAAGUGACAGUCUGGUCUGCUCUCCAUACCAGUUGGUGGCGGUAAUGCACGAAGUCGUUGUUUGUCAACCGCCAAUAAACACCAAGAAGAAGAAGAAGAAGAAGAAGAAGAAGGCGCUAACUUGAGCUCCGGUUGGUGGCGCUAAUAUACCAUAACCACACUGAUGACGACGACGAAGAAGAAAAUAAUGGAGCGCUCUCUCUUGAUUUCAACAUCGUUUUUGUUUUGUUUUUUAUUUCUAUUUCAUCUAUUCAUAAAUAACAGAUAUCAGUGGUUUUUAUUAUAAUUUUGUCGUGUCAUGUACACGAAGGGGAGCGAAAAACGGAGGCUGGGCAGAUGCUCCACGAAGAAACACGAAGAAACAGAGGACUUCAUCUACGGGGGCCAAAGACUGCUACCGCAGUUCAAGGGAAGAUCAACAGUGGACAACAACAGUUACUUCAAGGCAUUUAAUAAUGAAGAAUCCUCCAGCAGAAGCUCGGGGAGGGAUACAUAACAUUACAACAUCAGGACAAAAUUCAGUUUCAAAUGAGAUUGGCUCAAGUUCAGCUCACCAAAAGCCGGAAGCGAUUUAAUAAGGCACACACUAAAUGGGAGUGGUGAGUGACUGGAUCUGUUAUGGCAGUGCCAUUUAGAAGAAACCUCUCCUCGCUGCAGCCGUGUUGGGCAGACAGAUAGACAACCACACACUUUCACAACUUACUUAAAGACUAAUUUAUUAUUUUGUUUUGUUUUUUUCAUUUCCAAUACCCAGUUUCCUGGGAAAAUAUUAUAUUUUCAACUGUGAAUCACCAGAUUUGUUGUAUUUCUGUUCUGUGUACCAACACUGUUUGUUAUUCAUUUGUUACUCCUCUGUUCUCUGUUUUCUUGUCUCCCAUCUCUAAUCUGUUGCUCUAACAUUUUUGUUCACUGCAUCUUUCAUUUCUCUCAAACACACACGUAUCUAUCCUUUCCAUUCCAGGUUAUUGGCUGUACUUGUCCUGCUGAUUUAACUAUAGUAAAACUCUGUUAUCUGUAAAUCUGGUGGGAUUUUGUCUUUCACUGCAUGUUGAAAAGGGGAUUUUAAAGGUUGACAUCUCAAUAUAAGCUGGACAUGUCUGACAGCCUGGUCGUACUUCUUUUCCUCAAAUUUGACUGAGAGGCAGGCUGGAUCACUUUGAGCGGCAGGAGAAGGAGAAG